This 500-nucleotide ribosomal RNA is filed under the name uncultured bacterium. Its description in RNAcentral is "partial 16S ribosomal RNA". It matches the Rfam family "Bacterial small subunit ribosomal RNA", at positions 30 to 523 of the family's 1533-position model. The record is from RNAcentral.
AUUGAACGCUGGCGGAAUGCUUUACACAUGCAAGUCGAACGGCAGCACGGACUUCGGUCUGGUGGCGAGUGGCGAACGGGUGAGUAAUGUAUCGGAACGUGCCCAGGCGUGGGGGAUAACGUAGUGAAAAUUACGUUGAUACCGCAUACGAUCUAUGGAUGAAAGCGGGGGAUCGCAAGACCUCGAGCGAUUGGAGCGGUCGGUAUCAGAUUAGGUAGUUGGUGGGGUAAAGGCCCACCAAGCCAACGAUCUGUAGCUGGUCUGAGAGGACGACCAGCCACACUGGAACUGAGACACGGUCCAGACUCCUACGGGAGGCAGCAGUGGGGAAUUUUGGACAAUGGGCGAAAGCCUGAUCCAGCCAUUCCGCGUGCAGGAUGAAGGCCCUCGGGUUGUAAACUGCUUUUGUACAGAACGAAAAGGUUUCUACUAAUACUAGGAGCUCAUGACGGUACUGUAAGAAUAAGCACCGGCUAACUACGUGCCAGCCGCCGCCGUAA